GGGGGAAUACCAAAGCGGCCAACUGGGACGGACUGUAAAUCCGUUGUCUUAUGACUUCGCAGGUUCGAAUCCUGCUUCCCCCACAA
RNAcentral lists this transfer RNA (86 nucleotides) under Mangrovivirga cuniculi. RNAcentral's name for it is "tRNA-Tyr". It matches the Rfam family "tRNA". Rfam says of the family: Transfer RNA (tRNA) molecules are approximately 80 nucleotides in length. Their secondary structure includes four short double-helical elements and three loops (D, anti-codon, and T loops). Further hydrogen bonds mediate the characteristic L-shaped molecular structure. tRNAs have two regions of fundamental functional importance: the anti-codon, which is responsible for specific mRNA codon recognition, and the 3' end, to which the tRNAs corresponding amino acid is attached (by aminoacyl-tRNA synthetases). tRNAs cope with the degeneracy of the genetic code in two manners: having more than one tRNA (with a specific anti-codon) for a particular amino acid; and 'wobble' base-pairing, i.e. permitting non-standard base-pairing at the 3rd anti-codon position. The record is from RNAcentral. Lineage: Bacteria; Pseudomonadati; Bacteroidota; Cytophagia; Cytophagales; Mangrovivirgaceae.